Long non-coding RNA from Hipposideros armiger (great roundleaf bat), 305 nucleotides. RefSeq lists it as uncharacterized. The transcript is spliced from 2 exons. The record is from RefSeq and is a predicted model, not a curated record. Lineage: Eukaryota; Metazoa; Chordata; Mammalia; Chiroptera; Hipposideridae.
GACCCCUGGUAUAGAGCUUCUGCUCAAGAUGGCACAGUAGGUACCAGACUGUGAGAAUACUUAUCAGCCUUAUGGAGAGGCCCAUGUGAUAAGGAACUGACAACCUCUUGUCAACACCACGGGAAUGAAACAUCUUGGAAUUGGAUCCUUGAGCCCCAAUCCUUGAGUCAACUGGGGCUGCAUCUCUGGCUGACAUGUCUGCAACCUCAUGAGAAAUCCUGCGCCAAAACUAACUAGCUUAAGCCAGUCUCUAAUUCCCAACCCACAGAAACUGUGAGAUAAUAAAUAUUUGUUGUUUUAAGCCA